This is a long non-coding RNA of Brassica oleracea var. oleracea, 622 nucleotides long. RefSeq lists it as uncharacterized. The transcript is spliced from 3 exons. NCBI's taxonomy places the organism in Eukaryota, Viridiplantae, Streptophyta, Magnoliopsida, Brassicales, Brassicaceae. The record is from RefSeq and is a predicted model, not a curated record.
UACUUUUUAUAUGUUCCUAUUUCAGAAAGGCAAGGUGGUGAACUCAAGAGCGUUGAUAUGCUCCUCCUUGAUGUAAAGACUCGCUGGCCACAAUCAUCUAGAGGUCAAUCAACCUUCAAACUGUCUUCACUCUUCCAACAUAUCUUGCAAGAAGGCUUGGUGUAUGGGUUAAGUGGUUUCAAUGUUGCGAGAAGCAAUCUGAUUUAAGUUUAUCGUGGAAUUCACAGCCACAGCUGAGCCAAGCCCGGAGGAGAGCUUCAGGUUCUGCAAAUACGAAUCUCAUGUCAUUUGCCAGAUAUUGUUGGAGAGAUUAGGGGCAUCAAAACCAUGUAAAACCAAGACACCCAGAGCACUCAACGCCUCAUGGCAGCAAUAAAGCUUGACGAUAGGUAGUUGAUAAUUUCCAGCUUUAAUAAACUGUUGACAUGAUACAUAUAAGUUGGUGGCUUGGUGCUAAGUUUACUUUUGCAUAUUGAGAAUGUUCUUACGUUAUUGUAUAAGUGCAUGUUCACAUAGUAGCACGUUACUUCCGUAAACAUAACAUCAACCUCGGGUCAUGCAUGUUUUGUUAUUUAUUAUAUACGAUUCAGACAGACGUUUAUCAGUUAACUGAUUAAUGAGC